This 495-nucleotide ribosomal RNA is filed under the name uncultured bacterium. RNAcentral describes it as "partial 16S ribosomal RNA". It matches the Rfam family "Bacterial small subunit ribosomal RNA", at positions 28 to 507 of the family's 1533-position model. The record is from RNAcentral.
GACGAACGCUGGCGGCGUGCCUAAUACAUGCAAGUAGAACGCUGAAGGAGGAGCUUGCUUCUCUGGAUGAGUUGCGCACGGGUGAGUAACGCGUAGGUAACCUGCCUGGUAGCGGGGGAUAACUAUUGGAAACGAUAGCUAAUACCGCAUAAUAGCAGUUGUUGCAUGACAACUGUUUGAAAGGUGCAAUUGCACCACUACCAGAUGGACCUGCGUUGUAUUAGCUAGUUGGUGGGGUAACGGCUCACCAAGGCGACGAUACAUAGCCGACCUGGGAGGGUGAUCGGCCACACUGGGACUGAGACACGGCCCAGACUCCUACGGGAGGCAGCAGUAGGGAAUCUUCGGCAAUGGACGGAAGUCUGACCGAGCAACGCCGCGUGAGUGAAGAAGGGUUUCGGAUCGUAAAGCUCUGUUGUAAGAGAAGAACGAGUGUGAGAGUGGAAAGUUCACACUGUGACGGUAUCUUACCAGAAAGGGACGGCUAACUACGUG